This 459-nucleotide ribosomal RNA is filed under the name uncultured bacterium. RNAcentral's name for it is "partial 16S ribosomal RNA". It matches the Rfam family "Bacterial small subunit ribosomal RNA", at positions 338 to 795 of the family's 1533-position model. The record is from RNAcentral.
CCUACGGGAGGCAGCAGUGAGGAAUAUUGGUCAAUGGCCGAGAGGCUGAACCAGCCAAGUCGCGUGAGGGAAGACGGCCCUACGGGUUGUAAACCUCUUUUGUCGGGGAGCAAAGCGAACCACGUGUGGUUCAUUGAGAGUACCCGAAGCAAAAGCAUCGGCUAACUCCGUGCCAGCAGCCGCGGUAAUACGGAGGAUGCGAGCGUUAUCCGGAUUUAUUGGGUUUAAAGGGUGCGCAGGCGGAGGUGCAAGUCAGCGGUAAAAUUGCGGGGCUCAACCCCGUACUGCCGUUGAAACUGCAGCCCUUGAGUGCGCGAGAAGUAUGCGGAAUGCGUGGUGUAGCGGUGAAAUGCAUAGAUAUAUGGAAGAACACCAGUGGCGAAAGCGGCUCGCUGGUCUGUAACUGACGCUGAGGUUCGAAAGCGUGGGUAGCAAACAGGAUUAGAUACCCCAGUAGUC